This 433-nucleotide ribosomal RNA is filed under the name uncultured bacterium. RNAcentral's name for it is "partial 16S ribosomal RNA". It matches the Rfam family "Bacterial small subunit ribosomal RNA", at positions 29 to 507 of the family's 1533-position model. The record is from RNAcentral.
AACGAACGCUGGCGGCAUGCCUAACACAUGCAAGUCGAACGAGAAGUCCGGGUCUAGUGGCGCACGGGUGCGUAACGCGUGGGAACCUGCACUUAGGUUCGGAAUACCUCACCGAAAGGGGUGCUAAUACCGGAUAAUGUCUUCGGACCAAAGAUUUAUUGCCAUUGGCUGGGCCCGCGUUGGAUUCGCUAGUUGGUAGGGUAAAAGCCUAUCAAGGCGUCGAUGCAUAGCUGGUCGGAGAGGAUGAUCAGCCACACUGGGACUAAGACACGGCCCAGACUCCUACGCAACGGAGGAGUGGGUAAUAUUGGACAAGGGGGGAAAGCCUGAUCCAGCAGUGCCGGGGAAGAGAUGAAUGCCGUAGGGUAGUAAAGCUCUUUUACCCGGGAUGAUAAUGACGGUACCGGGUGAAUAAGCACCGGCUAACUCCGUG